AGUGAACGCUGGCGGUAGGCCUAACACAUGCAAGUCGAACGGCAGCACAGUAAGAGCUUGCUCUUACGGGUGGCGAGUGGCGGACGGGUGAGGAAUACAUCGGAAUCUACUUUUUCGUGGGGGAUAACGUAGGGAAACUUACGCUAAUACCGCAUACGACCUACGGGUGAAAGCAGGGGAUCUUCGGACCUUGCGCGAUUGAAUGAGCCGAUGUCGGAUUAGCUAGUUGGCGGGGUAAAGGCCCACCAAGGCGACGAUCCGUAGAUGGGCUGAGAGGAUGGACAACCAAAACGGAAAUGGAAAAAGGGCCAAGCUCCAAAGGGGGGAAGAAGGGGGGAAAAAUGGAAAAAGGGGCGAAAGCUGAACCAGCCAAACCGGGGGGGGGAAGAAGGCCUUCGGGUUGUAAAGCCCUUUUUGUGGGAAAAAAAAGGAGCAGGUUAAAACCCCGCUGUUCUGGCGGUAACCAAAAAAAAAGAACCGGCUAACUUCG
This 490-nucleotide ribosomal RNA is filed under the name uncultured bacterium. RNAcentral describes it as "partial 16S ribosomal RNA". It matches the Rfam family "Bacterial small subunit ribosomal RNA", at positions 29 to 505 of the family's 1533-position model. The record is from RNAcentral.